AAGUUUGUUCUUGAAACCUUAUGGGAUCUGUAAUUUGUGCAACUUUGGAGCUUGAUAAUUUUUUCCCUCAACUUUGAAGCUUGAUAAAGUUUUUUAUUUUCUUAAAAAUAUUUGGUAAAAUAAAUAUUUUUUUAUCUUUUAUUUUCUUUGACGGAAUUAACUAUUCUAGUUAAAUUUACAGGUUUUGAUUGAGUUUUCAUAGACCCAACAUCUUUAUUUCAAGUUUGGUGUAUGGAAGAACGCUCUGGUCAGUAUGCUUUCUUGUACUCCUAAUUUUCUACUGAAGCAGUCUUACUUGGUGGGUUCUUUCUGAUUCUGAUUCUAAGUUUCUUAUUUCUUUUGACUUUUUUUAAUUUU
Long non-coding RNA from Juglans microcarpa x Juglans regia, 357 nucleotides. RefSeq lists it as uncharacterized. NCBI's taxonomy places the organism in Eukaryota, Viridiplantae, Streptophyta, Magnoliopsida, Fagales, Juglandaceae. The record is from RefSeq and is a predicted model, not a curated record. The transcript is spliced from 2 exons.